AAACUAACAAGGAUUCCCCUAGUAACGGCGAGUGAAGCGGGAAGAGCUCAAAUUUGAAAUCUGGCAGUCUUCGAUUGUCCGAGUUGUAAUCUAUAGAGGCGUUUUCCGUGCCGGACCGUGUCCAAGUCUCCUGGAAAGGAGUAUCAAAGAGGGUGAUAAUCCCGUACUUAACACGACCACCGGUGCUCUGUGAUACGUCUUCUACGAGUCGAGUUGUUUGGGAAUGCAGCUCAAAAUGGGUGGUGAAUUCCAUCUAAAGCUAAAUAUUGGCGAGAGACCGAUAGCGAACAAGUACCGUGAGGGAAAGAUGAAAAGCACUUUGGAAAGAGAGUUAAACAGUACGUGAAAUUGUUGAAAGGGAAACGAUUGAAGUCAGUCGUGUUCUUUGGAUUCAGCCAGUUCUGCUGGUCUACUUCCUUGGAACGGGUCAACAUCAGUUUUGUCCGGUGGAUAAAGGUAGUAGGAAUGUGACUUCUCCGGAAGUGUUAUAGCCUAUUAUCACAUACACUGGGUGAGACUGAGGACUGCAGCUCGCCUUUAUGGCCGGUCUUCGGACACGUUCGAGCUUAGGAUGUUGACAUAAUGGCUUUAAACGACCC
RNAcentral lists this ribosomal RNA (599 nucleotides) under Trichosporon asteroides. RNAcentral's name for it is "partial large subunit ribosomal RNA". It matches the Rfam family "Eukaryotic large subunit ribosomal RNA", at positions 62 to 650 of the family's 3401-position model. The record is from RNAcentral. Lineage: Eukaryota; Fungi; Basidiomycota; Tremellomycetes; Trichosporonales; Trichosporonaceae.